Triticum aestivum (bread wheat) is the source of this 572-nucleotide long non-coding RNA. RefSeq lists it as uncharacterized. The record is from RefSeq and is a predicted model, not a curated record. Lineage: Eukaryota; Viridiplantae; Streptophyta; Magnoliopsida; Poales; Poaceae. The transcript has 2 exons.
CUCUCACUUUUCCACUCUCCCUCUCACUUUUCCCCUUUCCCUUAGGGUUCCUACGGAGGAGAGAAAUCCAAAAAUCAAUCCAUGGAGUUGGGGACUGCCGGCGGGAAACUACUCUGACUCUCUGAGGUGUAGAUCCGGUGGAGAGCUGCUCCAAGAUCUACUGGAUCUGACAACGUUGGCUGCAAUUUUGCCUGCCACUAUUCCUUCCUUUUGUAGCACCUUUGUCCAGACCGUGUGUAAAUCAGAUGGAUCUAGCUCAUAUUCAUGUUAUGAGCAUGGGUGAGGAAUACCUCGCACGUUGGGUGUUGAAUUAUUUAUCUGGUGAUGAUCCUGCUGAUGAUCCUAUUGAUGGUCGUAUUGAUGAUCCAUCCUGCUAAUCACUAAGUGAUUAUUAAUUGCACAAGAUUACGUACAUGGUUGACGGAGUUUCUUUUUGGUGGACUUUCUGAUCAUGCGAAUAGGAAAUGUGACUUUUGGACAUGUUAGCACUAGACGAGUGGUAGUAGACUUUUGUGUUCUUCAAAUUAUGAUGUAAACUCAAACCUUAAGUGUAAUGAUAAUUUGGUCUGUUA